UACGUAGGGGGGCAAGCGUUGUCCGGAUUUAUUGGGCGUAAAGAGCUCGUAGGUGGUUCGGUAAGUCGGAUGUGAAAUCUCCAGGCUCAACCUGGAGGGGUCAUUCGAUACUGCCGUGACUAGAGUUCGGUAGGGGAGUGUGGAAUUCCUGGUGGAGCGGUGAAAUGCGCAGAUAUCAGGAGGAACACCCGUAGCGAAGGCGGCACUCUGGGCCGAUACUGACACUGAGGAGCGAAAGCGUGGGGAGCGAACAGG
Molecule: ribosomal RNA, 255 nt
Filed under: uncultured bacterium
Lineage: Bacteria
Description: partial 16S ribosomal RNA
Rfam family: Bacterial small subunit ribosomal RNA
Source: RNAcentral